This is a long non-coding RNA of Papaver somniferum (opium poppy), 1487 nucleotides long. RefSeq lists it as uncharacterized. Lineage: Eukaryota; Viridiplantae; Streptophyta; Magnoliopsida; Ranunculales; Papaveraceae. The transcript has 5 exons. The record is from RefSeq and is a predicted model, not a curated record.
CAGUAGAUAGAAUAGUUCAUGUGGUAUUUAAGAGUGUUACGGGAUGUAUCGCAAGAGAUACGAUCUAAGAUUUCUUUAAAAGUAAAGCAUCAGUCUGAAUCAUGUUCGUUUCAUGCAGAUUUGCUGGUGGGCAUGAAUUCGCUUUAGUUUGAAGCUACCGCGUGUUUUUUGGGAAAAUAUCUUAAGUUAUGUAGCAUUACGACUUUUCAAACCUACUUUGGUUUGCUCUAUAUAUCAACGGAGGUACCCUGCCAAGAAUUAUGUAGUGGUAGAGAUCAAGCAUCAUAUAUUGUAAAGAUGGAUAUGCUGAUUUCGACAAUUUUGGCCGUUCAAUACAACCUAAUUUUUUUCAUAAGCACCUUCCAAGUAGUAGGUUAAGCAGUUGAUGGAGGACAUCUAUUGCAUAUGGUUUGUGAUGUAACAAUAGCUGCUAACAAUGCCGAUCGAUUUUUUCCGCACAAGCCCGGAGGUAUUUAUUUGUAACUCUUUGUUUCAGUGUUGAAGACAUAAGGUGGUCAUUCUUUCUUAUUUCAGAUUUAUGAGUUCAGCUUUAUGAAUUAUAUAUUUCAUGUAAUGCCAUUUUCCCCACCCUAAGGAAUCUAAGCUUUUUUAUUAUGUUGUGCAAGGAAUAUUAGUAAUGCAGUAAACUUUUGCAAAAUUAAGGACUCCAUGUUCACGUCUCUAUGGUAUACUGGUCUCCAGCAUGGAUGAAAACCUUAUCCCAGAGUACUUGCUAGUUUUGCGCUUGAAGAGUAAAGAAAAAUUCGGAUGCUCUCGUCCUACUGUUACCUACAGUUUUUACAACGUCGCACACUUCUACAACUUAGUGUCAUUUUUAUUUGAACUAUUGUAGUACCACGCGCUGCCUUCAUUCCAUUGUAACUGUAAUCUUGAAUAUGGAGCUGCGAGAAGAACGAGCCGAGAGGAGUUGAAAAUUUUGAUUAAAAACGAAGGAUGAAGUAUCCGAGAUCUAUACUCAGAAUAUAACUGGAAUAAGAGAGGUAGCAUUUCCUUCUUUGCAACCUAUCGAACACUGGCGCCACUUGACACAUCAUCAUGCCUUCUCACGUUUUUGUUGUCGGAUAGUGAUCGAUGAACACCUCACGAAUGACAAAGUAAAAGAUGCCUGCAGUUAUAUAUAGCGCCCUAGAAAUUCCAUCGAAAACAUUCAAGACAUUUAAGCAGUGAGUUUGAAAUCCCAUGGUGAAAAGGCUGAUGUAGUGGAGUGAAACAACCGAGUUGCCUUGCAUACUCUCUGCUACGAUGAGAGCCCUAAAGUUUUCUCUGUGUAGCUGAUGGUUUUUGGCCAGUCAGAUUUCAAUAGUCUUAGAUUGAAAGACAGUGGUUGUUUUAUCGAUGAUCAUCUCAUUUAUAUCAGCACCAAGGAACCCGCUGUGGAUCGGCGUUAUCCCUGGAUUGUCCUUUACGGAACCAGUCAGAACCACUCUCCAGACUGGAAAAUCAGAUUUAAUACAAAUGCUAUUCGU